AGCAGCCGCGGUAAUUCCAGCUCCAAUAGCGUAUAUUAAAGUUGUUGCAGUUAAAAGCUCGUAGUUGAAUUUCGGGGUUAGCAGGUCGGUCGUGCCAUCGGUAUGAACUGGUCUCGCUGAUCCCUCCCUCUUGACGAACUGUGAUGCCAUUAAUUUGGUGUCGCAGGGAAUCAGGACUGUUACUUUGAAAAAUUGAGUGUUUAAAGCAGGCUCACGCUUGAAUACAUUAGCAUGGAAUAAUGAAAUAGGACGUUUGAUCCUAUUUUGUUGGCUUCUAGGAUUGACGUAAUGAUUAAUAGGGAUAGUUGGGGGCAUUAGUAUUCAAUUGUCAGAGGUGAAAUUCUUGGAUUUAUUGAAGACUAACUACUGCGAAAGCAUUUGCCAAGGAUGUUUUCAUUAAUCAAGAACGAAAGUUAGGGGAUCGAAGACGAUCAGAUACCGUCGUAGUCUUAACCAUAAACUAUGCCGACUAGGGAUCGGAUGAUGUUAAUUUUUAAUGUACUUCU
RNAcentral lists this unclassified non-coding RNA (506 nucleotides) under uncultured Glomus. RNAcentral's name for it is "SSU rRNA". It matches the Rfam family "Eukaryotic small subunit ribosomal RNA", at positions 569 to 1080 of the family's 1831-position model. Lineage: Eukaryota; Fungi; Glomeromycota; Glomeromycetes; Glomerales; Glomeraceae. The record is from RNAcentral.